This is a long non-coding RNA of Anguilla rostrata (American eel), 280 nucleotides long. RefSeq lists it as uncharacterized. The transcript has 2 exons. NCBI's taxonomy places the organism in Eukaryota, Metazoa, Chordata, Actinopteri, Anguilliformes, Anguillidae. The record is from RefSeq and is a predicted model, not a curated record.
ACUCUCUCACACUCACAAGGCCUGUCAAUGCCUCACAGAAAAGAACAAGGGGGCCAGGCUUGCAGAUAAAGGAGGUGUGACUGCCCACAAAGGGGCGGGGCUAUGCAGAAGGGGGUGUGGUCAGGCUGUAAACUCAUGGAGGAACGAAGAGGCGGAGCCUGCGGCGUGUUCCAAGUGCAUAGGGAAGGCGUGGCUAAGCGCCACAGGAGUGAACCUCACCGUGCUUCUCUCAGUGGAAAGGCAUGCUGGGAUACGUGCGGUGGAGUUACAGCCCCCCCCC